Molecule: small nucleolar RNA, 126 nt
Organism: Ictidomys tridecemlineatus (thirteen-lined ground squirrel)
Lineage: Eukaryota; Metazoa; Chordata; Mammalia; Rodentia; Sciuridae
Source: Ensembl
GCCCUCUGCUUCCCUUUUCUAGUGGACCUGAACACUGGUCUUGGUGGCCACAGAAGGAGGAAGAGUAAGAAGCUAUUCUCAGCAUUGUAGUCUGGUGUGGUGCAUGUGGGUUAGGUUCCAAUAGGG